CAGCAGCCGCGGUAAAACCAGCACCUCAAGUGGUCAGGAUGAUUAUUGGGCCUAAAGCCUACGUAACCGGCUCUGUAAGUUUUCGGUUAAAUCUGUACGCUCAACGUACAGGCUGCCGGGAAUACUGCAGAGCUAGGGAGUGGGAGAGGUAGACGGUACUCGGUAGGAGGGGGUAAAAUCCUUUGAUCUAUUGAUGACCACCUGUGGCGAAGGCGGUCUACCAGAACACGUCCGACGGUGAGGGAUGAAAGCUGGGGGAGCAGACCGGAUUAGAUACCCGGGUAGUCCCAGCUGUAAACUAUGCAAACUCAGUGAUGCAUUGGCUUGUGGCCAAUGCAGUGCUGCAGGGAAGCCGUUAAGUUUGCCGCCUGGGAAGUACGUACGCAAGUAUGAAACUUAAAGGAAUUGGCGGGGGAGCAC
RNAcentral lists this ribosomal RNA (420 nucleotides) under uncultured Nitrososphaerota archaeon. RNAcentral's name for it is "bacterial SSU rRNA". It matches the Rfam family "Archaeal small subunit ribosomal RNA", at positions 459 to 879 of the family's 1478-position model. Lineage: Archaea; Thermoproteati; Nitrososphaerota. The record is from RNAcentral.